AACUGUGAAGUACCCAUUAAAUGGGUACCGAAUACCCAUUUUUAUGGCCAGUACUGAGUUGUCAGAAAAAGGGUAUUUUUUAAAUGUCACAAAAAGGGUACUUAUUCCCCAUGAGGAAGUUUCUAUUCGUUUUACAAUGAUGGGUAAAUAAUACGCGGGAUGGUUUGACGAGUAGCAUCUCCAUUUUGAAAUUUCUUUUGCAUUCAUGUUUUCUGUGGUGAUAUUGAAAUCUAUUUUUGGUGCCGGAACUAUUGUAAUAGCAAGCUGGAAAUCAUAUUCAAGAUAUCUUUGAAGAACCCGGAUAUUGUUGCGGCACAACAGUUUGCGGAGCCGAUAUCCAAUGUGCAAAGUUGGAAAACCGAGAAAGAGUAUCGGGAGCAUCGGAUCGUACAGAUUCAAAAUAUGAAGAAAAACUAAAACAAAUUGUUAGUGAUAAUGACAUGACAUAAUAAAUACGAAAUUCUUUUAUAUUAUACUGA
This 479-nucleotide long non-coding RNA is filed under the name Aedes aegypti (yellow fever mosquito). Its description in RNAcentral is "lncRNA AAEL025382". The record is from RNAcentral. Lineage: Eukaryota; Metazoa; Arthropoda; Insecta; Diptera; Culicidae.